Molecule: transfer RNA, 96 nt
Filed under: Afipia sp. THI201
Lineage: Bacteria; Pseudomonadati; Pseudomonadota; Alphaproteobacteria; Hyphomicrobiales; Nitrobacteraceae
Also listed under: 2 other names
Description: tRNA-SeC
Rfam family: Selenocysteine transfer RNA
Source: RNAcentral
GGAAGAGCAUCGUUCCCGGUGGGGCGUCCGGACUUCAAAUCCGGGAAGGACCGCGAGUCGGUUCUUGGUGGGUUCGACUCCCAUUCUCUUCCGCCA